Molecule: ribosomal RNA, 433 nt
Filed under: uncultured bacterium
Lineage: Bacteria
Description: partial 16S ribosomal RNA
Rfam family: Bacterial small subunit ribosomal RNA
Source: RNAcentral
AACGAACGCUGGCGGCAUGCCUAACACAUGCAAGUCGAACGAGACCUCCGGGUCUUUGGGCGCACGGUGUCGUAACGCGUGGGGACCUGCCCUUAUGUUCGGAAUAACUCCCCGAAAGGGGUGCUAAUACGGGAUCAGAUCUUCGGACCCAAGAUUUAUUGACUUUGGAGGUGCCCGAGUUGGAUUAGGUAGUGGUUAGGGUAAAAGCAGACCACGGCGACGAUCCAUAGCUGGUCACGGAGGAUGGUCAGCCACUCUGGGACUGAGACGCGGCCCAGACUCCUACGCGAUGCAGCAGUGGGGAAUAGUGCACAAUGGGCGAAAUCCUGAUCCAGCAAUGCCGCGUGAGUGAUGAAGGUAUUAGGGUUGUAAAGCUCUUUUACCCGGGAUGAUCAUGACAGUACCGGGAGAAUAAGCCCCGGCUAACUCCGUG